RNAcentral lists this ribosomal RNA (495 nucleotides) under Oreina melanocephala. RNAcentral's name for it is "partial 16S large subunit ribosomal RNA". The stretch from base 371 to 495 matches the Rfam family "Bacterial large subunit ribosomal RNA", at positions 2473 to 2598 of the family's 2925-position model. Lineage: Eukaryota; Metazoa; Arthropoda; Insecta; Coleoptera; Chrysomelidae. The record is from RNAcentral.
UAAUUUAAGGUUUAGCCUGCCCACUGAAAUUUUAAAUGGCCGUGGUAUUUUGACCGUGCUAAGGUAGCAUAAUCAUUAGUUUUUUAAUUAAAAACUGGAAUGAAAGGUUGGAUAAGAAAAUAGCUGUCUCUGUUAAAUUUAAUUAGAAUUUUAUUUUUAAGUUAAAAAGCUUAAAUAAUAUUAAAAGACGAGAAGACCCUAUAGAGUUUAAUUAUUUAAUAAAAAUUAUAUUUUAGUAUUUAUUUAUUUAUUUUAUUAAAUAAUUUGAUUGGGGGUGAUUGAAAAAUUUAAUUAACUUUUUUUACUUAAAAACAUUAAUUUAUGAAUGUAUGAUCCAAUAUUUUUGAUUAUAAGAUAAAAUUACCUUAGGGAUAACAGAGUAAUUUUUUUUGAAAGUUCUUAUUAAAAAAAAAGAUUGCGACCUCGAUGUUGGAUUAAAAUAAAUUUUUGGUGUAGAAGCUAAAAUAUUGGGUCUGUUCGACCUUUAAAAUUUUA